RNAcentral lists this long non-coding RNA (5304 nucleotides) under Salmo salar (Atlantic salmon). Its description in RNAcentral is "lncRNA (ENSSSAG00000114278.1)". Lineage: Eukaryota; Metazoa; Chordata; Actinopteri; Salmoniformes; Salmonidae. The record is from RNAcentral.
AGAGAGUGAAAGAGAGCUGUAUCUCAUAGUUGAAAUCAAGACUGUUCUCAGGGCAGGUCUUCCCGUUUUGACUAGCAGAAGUUACUUUAUUAAUUAAGCAGCAGGUUACGAGAAUUAAAGCAGGUUAGGAUAAUUAGGUAAAGGUUAGGGAAAGCUAAAAUGCUAACAAUGUCCCCGACGCGACUCGAACAUAUCUACAACCAGGCCUGCCCUGACAACAGACUUGAUUUCUACUAAUGCGAUGAUCGGCUGUCUGCGAGGGAAGACUCAUGAGAAAAUAAGCUUUAUGUUCUACUCAAGCUAUUAUAUUUUAAAUUUUUGGGAAAAGUCGCCUAAAUAUUUUUGAGCGGCUGCAAGGUAUGUACUAAUUCCAUAUACUAUAUAUUUCUAUAUACCUACUGCAGGUUUUCUUAACUAAGCUACUAAUUAGCUAGCUAACUUUAGCUUGUUUGGAUUGGGUUAGCUAACAGUAGCCAGGUUGACAUGUCGGUCUGUUGCGUUGAUCUUUCUUGCUGGUAAAAUAAUCAGUGAUGUUGUAGCUAUACAGCAGCAAAUCAUUUUAGUAUUAACAACGUGCAGAAAUCCGUAUGUGAGUUUAUUUUGAUAGGCUACUUAACCGGUGGGUGCAUGACAUGAGUGGCAUGGUGCUAACGCUAUGGUAUUAGUGGCAAAGUGGUCAUAGGCUUCACCGGACAAAAAUACUGUUUGUCUAGGGAGGGAGCGAGAGUUUAGCUAUGUUGAAUGCACCUUUAGUUUGUCAGCAGGCAUGGACUGGCAUUUUGCCUUGGGAUGUAUACUUUUGGGGUGAUUCUGUAGUUGGAAUGAGAGGUGUCUCAGAUGGGGAAUGGUGCUUGCUAACGUUAGCUAUAGCUCAGAGAUGACGCACUCCUUUGUACACCUUUCUCUAAGUCUAAAUAUCUCUGGUUAGCGUUAGCUCUAUUCAGUUUCGGGGUGCGUGUGAUUUAGCAAAAGUGUAGUGGAAUUUUCUCCCUGCUUUUGUUAUCCUUAGUCCAUUAAAUUUAUUAAUUCAGCAACAGCAGGCACAGACUGAUAUUUUGCCCUGCAGGAUAUUAAAGUUAUCUUUUAUUUUCAUUUUCUUCACAUUGUGUGGUUAGCUUGCUAGCAUUAUUCAGGGCGAUGGUCGUGGCAUUUUCCCGCGUGAGUUGAAUUUUCCUUGUGCUUUUGCUAAUCUUUCAGAAAUUAUCCUUAUCCAACCAUUAAUUAGGCAACAUUAAAUUAAUGAUAUCUGAAACAUCAGGCACAGACUGAUAUUUUAUUUAGCCUUGUAGUCUAUACAUUUUGGGGGGGGGGAUUGUGUGGUUGGCAUGAGUUGCAUGGUAGCAUAUAGCUUGAUAGCUCUUUUGGUAUGUGCAUGCAAUUUGGUGGCUGGGGUCGUGUAAUUUUCAUAUUGCAGGCUGGCUGGUAGCUGGAAGUAGCUUUAUUGGGAAUGUACAGGUGUAAAUCCUGCCAUUUCUGUUUCCUAAAUAUUAAAGCAUUCAUUACUCAUGCAAAAAAAACAUAGAAAUGUGGCGAACUACAGUUUUGCUUGUGGGGUAGAGUGCCCUUGCGCCAAAGCAUCACUACUUGUUACACUUGGGCAACUCAUUCGUUUGUGGACACCGAGGUUCGAGAGCAAGCACUCCUACUUCAAGGAGUGUGCCAGAAAACUUGUCUGAGAAGCACCGGUUACUCCAAUCUUACUUAUGCAGCGGCCAAUUGUUUCCACAUAGCAUUGAAGUUGUUGGUGUCAUGAAUUAAUUUGAGGAGCAAUUAUAUAACAACGUCAUUCAGGGAGCUGGACAGUCAAAAGGGUUCACAAAGCAAAGCAUUGCAGAGGUGUCUAAAAUGGUAUACAAAGUAACAACAUACACUGAAGGCCUUGUUGUAAUGGGAGAAAAUGAUGACGGAUACACAUUUGGAAAGAUCUCACUGAUUCUGGUCACAGAAUCACAGGUCUAUUUAAUCGUUGGCGUGUAUCACUCUGUGUCACUGGUUGAUCUCAGGGUUCAUUUUAUACCAGAUUCUCUGAUUAAUUAUGUGUGUGUUAAUGCAGAUAGUCUGAGUGAUUAUUACCCAUUACCAGUUUAUAAAGUGUUAGGUUUCUCUGUUGUUUCUUUGCAUCACUCAGUGAGUUCUCCUUAAACCAGUGUAGGCAUAGAGGGUCUUCAAGAUGCAAUAAACACCAAAUGCCCGAGUUGGAGACCGAGACGGUGAGAUCUUUGUCAGAGCAUCUGAGGGCAAAUGUUGGAGUGGAGAAUAUUAAAGACCUUGAAUAUGUUCAGCCCGGAGGACAUAAAAGACCAUUUGACGCCAAUAUAGUGCCGGGAAUUGCUUCAGUCCUUCAACCAAAGAGGUGUGAUCUUGAUUGAUAAAUGUAACAUAUUUACGUCAUUGUUAUGAAAAAAGAUGCUAUCAGGAACCUAAAAUGGUUAUUUGGCUGUCCCCAUAUGAGAACCCUUUGAAGAUCCCUUUUUGAUUCCAGAUACAUGUAUAACCGUUUUGGUUCCAGGUAGAACUCUUCUGGGUUCCAUGUAGAACCCCUUCCAUAGAGGGUUCUACAUGGAACCCAAAAGGGUUCUACCUGGAACCAAAAAGGGUUCUCCUAUGGGGACAGCCAAAGAACCCUUUCGGGAACCCUUUUCUUUAAGAGUGUACGUACACACAAGUUUAAAAAGGUUCUGUAAAUAGUUCAUUUGUUUGCCCUCAAAAUAAAUGGUUUAUGCUAUGAGGGAGCGAGGCAUAUGCAAUAAAGGCGACAGAAAUUACAAAAAGUACAAAAAUAUACAAAUGUUUCUGUAAAUUGUUUGUCCUCUUGUGCAGCACAUAGCCUAACAGAGUUUUUUCUUAGAAUUUUUUAAAAGAAAAUUAAGAAUGGAUAGGAUCUUUAACAAUGGAUAGGACACUUGUCCUCCUCCAAGCGUCAGUGACCUCCAGGAACAGUGGCCUUUCCUUAUCACCAAGUUAUGGCUCUGCGACCACUUCAAUACCCUCACUGGCAUCGUGAUUGACAGUUGCCUGACUCAAGCUCUCCUGAACAAGGGUAAGAGAAUUGUCAACUUUUUUAAAAGCUAAAAGACCAAGCUGAGGAGAGAGAUCCAGUGCCUGCUGAAUGAAAUCGACAUCAGAGGCAAUGACGAUCACUGCUGCCAUUCUUUUGUUGAUGACCCACUUCAAAGAGAAGGACGAAUCUCUGUUCCUCUUGGAAGAUGUCAUUGUAACUCAGGUUGAUGUCGAGGCGCAAAUUCCUUUGCCAUACACACCAAGGCUGAUCAUGCUUGGAAAUACUCUAUUAUAUUCCUCAAAAUGGAUGGUGUCGAUCGAGGGGAGAGUGCUCUGUGUUUUGGACAGUGAGUCCAACUUUGCUGCUGCCCUUUCUGUGCUCUUCAGCACGUUCAAUGUUUUUAACAUAGAAUACCAGGAGUUGGCCUCUGCAACCUUGGGGCUGAUACAGAGGUUCCUGGUUUGAGUAAACCCUGAAGGAACCAAAUGCACAGCGAAAGCAAGAGUGAGCCGCAAGACCGUAAAGGUCAUUCAGAGGAAGCCAUUGCCAAUUAACCCACAUGUUAGACACUUUCUCGCAGACCUGAAGGAGUUCGAGUGUAAAAACAGACACACCUGAUGAACACAAACUUUGUCAGUUGUCAUCUGCCUUUUUACCCAGCGAGUAAUAGUAAUUGUAAUAGUAGUAGUGAUAGUAAUAGUAAUAGUAGUAGUCAUAGUAGUAGUGAUAGUAAUAGUAGUAGUAAUAGUAGUAGUGAUAGUAAUAGUCAUAGUAGUAGUAAUAGUAGUAGUGAUAGUAAUAGUAGUAGUAAUAGUAGUAGUAAUAGUGAUAGUAAUAGUCAUAGUAGUAGUAAUAGUAGUAGUCAUAGUAGUAGUGAUAGUAAUAGUAGUAGUCAUAGUAAUAGUAGUAGUGAUAGUAAUAUUGAUAGUAGUAGUGAUAGUCAUAGUAAUAGUAGUAGUGAUAGUAAUAGUAGUAGUCAUAGUAAUAGUAGUAGUGAUAGUAGUAGUGAUAGUAAUAGUAGUAGUGAUAGUAGUAGUCAUGGUAAUAGUAGUAGUAAUAGUAGUGGUUAUAGUAGUAGUCAUGGUAAUAGUAGUAGUCAUAGUAAUAGUAGUAGUGAUAGUAAUAGUAGUAGUCAUAGUGAUAGUAAUAGUGAUAGUAGUAGUGAUAGUAGUAGUAGUAGUAAUAGUAGUAGUAGUAGUGAUAAUAAUAGUAGUAGUCAUGGUAAUAGUAGUAGUAAUAGUGAUAGUGAUAGUAGUAGUCAUGGUAAUAGUAGUAGUAAUAGGGAUAGUAGUAGUAAUAGGGAUAGUAGUAGUAAUAGUAGUAGUGAUAGUAAUAGUAGUAGUGAUAAUAGUAGUCAUGGUAAUAGUAGUAGUGAUUGUAAUAGUAGUAGUGAUAGUAGUAGUAGCAGUAGUUGUAGUAGUCGUAGUGAUAGUAAUAGUAGUGAUAGUAGUAGUAAUAGUAGUAGUCAUAGUAGUAGUCGUCAUAGUAGUAGUGAUAGUAGUAGUAAUAGUAGUCAUAGUAAUAGUAGUAGUGAUAGUAGUAGUCAUAGUAACGGUAAUAGUAGUAGUAAUAGUAGUCAUAGUAUUAGUCAUAGUAAUAGCAAUCUCUAUCUUUCUAUGUCCAUGUUUGUCCUAGUUGACGUAUCAGAGCUAAGGAGGAUCAGUUUCAAAGAUUGGGGUGAUAAUCUGCACGCCACCGAGAUUUAUUCGAGACUUAUUUGCGUCUCUCAUUUUCUCAGAAAUCCUUCCAUGUGGCUUGGGUCAGCAAAUGAUCUGCUUGCGCCAUCCCGGAGCCUGUGUUGGCUUGUGGUAGCGUGCUUCUCUGGCUCCAGUCUAGCCCUGCUCGCUCCUCUCUAUCCAUCCUUCUCUCUCAGCCCCUUUCUCUCUCGAUCUCUCUCUUGUUUCUCUCUCAAAGACAGGCAGGCAAGCAGUUAUUGUUAUAGUUUUUUGUAAAAAAUGUUCCCUGUUCAACUGUUCUUUUCCUAUUUUUCAUUGAUCUGUUUAGAUUUUAUUUUUUUCUUACAUAAUCCUGUAUUUUCAAGAAUUACCUUGUUACGUUCCCCAGUUUCUGUGUUGUAGUUUGUGUUUCAAGUAAUGGCUUCCUGAAGUUCUCCAAGCAGCUGAUUGGUCGGCCCCAUUGCUGAUUGGAGAGCUGACCCGCCCCCUCGUCAGGACGCAGCUGUCUCCAAUUAACAACCCCACCUAAAGCUAUAUAAGCCAGUGUGCUGUUGCUCAGAGGAGGAGACACACAGAUGAUGACAGAGAGAUAUUUGCUGGGAGACACAGAUAAUGGCUGAGAGUUAG